RNAcentral lists this transfer RNA (65 nucleotides) under Graptacme eborea. Its description in RNAcentral is "tRNA-Gln". Lineage: Eukaryota; Metazoa; Mollusca; Scaphopoda; Dentaliida; Dentaliidae. The record is from RNAcentral.
UAUAAAUGAGUGUUUUUAGCACAGGAAAUUUUGAAUUUCCAAGAAUAAUUUAAUUAUAUUUGUAG